Molecule: long non-coding RNA, 40897 nt
Filed under: Gossypium barbadense (sea-island cotton)
Lineage: Eukaryota; Viridiplantae; Streptophyta; Magnoliopsida; Malvales; Malvaceae
Description: long non-coding RNA (GBAR_LNC007767)
Source: RNAcentral
CCAUAUAACAUAGAUUAAGUAUAGGUUAAAGCUAUAUAAAGUGAGUUUCCAUACCAGAGAACUAUUAGAGGUAUCCUCCUUCGCUUUACCGGCAAAGAAACCAUGACCAAGGGGACUAUAUGCAACAAUCCCAAUUCCGAGUUCCCUGCAUUGUUGAACACAUUUAGGCAGACAUAACCUCAGAGCAGUUGAAGGACUUAAAACAGUUGAUAACUUGAGAAAAGACAAUCAAUAAGUGAAUUUCAAUCUAUUUGAGCAAAAGGGUAUAUUUAUAUCCCUCCAAAUAUAUAAAAAAUUGAAUAUACCUAUAUUCGAAAAAAAAAAUUACGAUGAUUGAAGAUAGAAGAAUAAACCUGCAAAGGGGAAUUAGUUCUUCCUCAACAUCACGAGUCCAGAGCGACCACUCAAGUUGUACAGCAGUAAGAGGAUGAACAGCGUGUGCCCUCCUUAUAGUUUCGGGGCUAGCUUCAGAUAUGCCAAUGUACUUUAUUUUUCCCUCUUCCACCAACUUCUUCAGUUCUUCCAUCUAUCAUACAUGAAAUAAAUAUAAAUUAUGCUUAAUUUUCCCAUAAACAAAACAAAAUUGUAUUUGUGUUAAAGAAAGACAAAAUAGGGUUUUUAAUGCAGCAAUGCUUACGGUAUCUUCUAUAGGAGUCUUGCGGUCAACUCUGAUUAUAUAGUAAAGAUCAAUAUAAUCCACAUCAAGGCGUUGAAGGCUAGCCUCAAGUGAAGAACGAACAAAUUCAGGAGUGCCAUUGAUAACCGGACCAUCUGGACCCAUGCUUUCAACACCGAAUUUUGUAGCCAACUGUACCUUCUCUCGUGGCAGAUGCUUCAAUGCCUGCAAAAAAAGAAAUGAUGUUGAUUUCCCAGAUUCCUUUAACGAGCCAAGAACCAGAAUGAAAACAUUAAAUCAUAUCGAUUUGAUAAACUAAAAAAUUCCAUCUCUCACGCAUAUCUUCGAAUAUGUAAUAGACACAAGAGUGUGGGAAAUUGAGAACAUGAAAGAAUCGCUCUCAGUUUCAAUGUGAUUAAGCUUGAAGAGAUGACGAAAGGAUGUUACCUUUCCGACCAGAAUUUCGUUAGUUUUGGGUCCAUAGAAGUCGGCUGUAUCGAUGUGAGUGACUCCUCUUUCGACUGCAUGCUUAAUGAUGGCUAUGCCAUCUUCAGCUGACACUGAAUGAUCGUGACCUGUAAGACUCAUACACCCAAAUCCCAGCUUUGAAACCUGCAGCAACCAAAAAAUAAUAGAUUUUACCCCCCAAAAGAAAACGCCAUUUUCUUAACUAAUAUAAACUAGUAGGAAACAAAAUCUCAAACCUCAAAUCCUUGAGUUCCAAGUUUCACUCUAGGAAUCUCAAUUGCCAUCUUUUGUUUCCUUUUUCUUCUUCUUCUUCUUUGUGUGCUAUAAACAAAGGCUUCUCUGAUUACUGAACCUCUCAAAACUUACAUUAAAUAGAAAAUUUUGAGGUCUUUAUCCAGUAUCUUAUCUUGUUCUCAGCUUUGUUAACAUUCUUACGUCAUUAAGUAUGUCAUCCCAUAUGCCUCAAUUGAAUGAGUGGAUAAAGCUCUUUUUCAGACACGUUUGACACUGUUUAAAUUGGUUAAAUAUAUCAUUUGGUACCUAAGUUUGAUCUUUUUUCUAAUUUGAUAUUUGUGUUAUUUUAAGGUAAAUGACAAAAAUGGUCACUAAAUUGGGGUGAAAUUUCCUUUUUUGCCUCUAAACUAUGAAAAGUUACAUUUUUAUCACUAAAGUUAUUUACUUAUAACAUUUUUAUCACUCGUCUGUUAAUAGAAAAGUGAGGUGUGGUACAUUAAUUUAAGGAUUAAUAUCUAAUUUGAUCAUUAAACUAUAGUUAAGAUAUAAUUUGAUAUUUUUAUAACAUUUUUAAUAAGAAAAAAAUAAAAAAAUCCUAAAAAUUUAUUAUUUAUUUUUUGAAAUUAUGAAAAUAUUUUUAAAAAUUGUAAUUAUGUAAAAAAAUUAUAAAAAUUUUAUAACAAGCAAAACACGUAUUUUACAAAUUAAAAGAAAAAUACGUUUUUAUUGGUAUAGCAUAAAACCAUUUUGCAUAAUAUCUUGGAUAUAAUUAAAUCUGAUCAACUCGUCUGCUACUGUAGCUUUCAGUGCUGAAAAGCAAGCCAAGCCUUUUCCUUUGAGCAGCUACAGGGAAACCGACAAUGAUUGAACUAUUAGACCCAAGCUGCGUUACAGCCGCGCAGCUCUACGUAAAGUCAUGGUCACGUAGUGCAAAUACGUAUUUUGUUUAUUAUAUAAUUUAUAUUUUUUUUGUUUUAUUUUUUACAUGAUUAUAAUUUUAAAAAAUAUAAUUUCAAAUAAAUGAUGAAUUUUCAAAAUAAUUUAAGAUUUUUUUAUAUUUUUAGAAUUUUUAUUUUUUUGAAAUUAUUGUUAAAAAUGUUAUAAAAGUACUAAAUUGAAUGUUUAAGCUAUAAUUUAGGGAUCAAAUUGGAUAUUAAUCCUUGAAUUAGAGGCCAAAAUAUUAUAAGUUGAUAACUUUAGUGACUAAAAUAUAACUUUUCAUAGUCUAGUAAAAAAAAUCACCAAAGUUUAAUGAUCAUUUUUAUAGUUUACCCUUAUUUUUAUUCAAUAUGAUACAUAUGCUUGACAAGAAAAAAAAAUGUCAUCUCAUAUUUUUUUUUGUUUGAUAUAACAUUUCGUACUCAAGUUUGAAUUUUUUUUAAUGCCAAAUCUAUGUUAUUUUUAUCCAAUAUAAUACAUGCAUUUAAAAAAAAUUUAUAUAUUUUCGUAUCUAAAAAUAAAAAUAUUAAUUUUCUAGAUUCGGGUUUUAAUAUUAAUUUAGUGAAAAAUAACUUCUAAUAUUUAAUGUUUGAAUUUUUCAUGAUUUUCUUAAUAGAUUAAAUUUAGUAUUAUUUGUAAAUUUGUUUAGUUUUGCAUUAAAUUAUUUAAAUACAACUUGAUGGAUAUGAUUUAAUUCAAGUUUUAGGAUCGAUGUGAUGAAAUUUAAUUGCUAAUAUUAUCAGCCAAUUACGAAUUUUCAUCCAACUCUAAAAUUCGGAUUAAACAUUAAAAAGUUGGCAUCUUUAACUUCAGGUAUCAGUUCUGGAAUAAACACUAAAAAGUUACCAUUGUUAGCUUUUGGUAUCAAAAUAUAUAACUUUUGUCAAAUAUAAGUACCAUUUCUAUAUAGACUUCCUCGUCAAUUUCAUCAACAAUGCAAGCUUACAUUUAAUUUAUAGUCUUUUCAAGUACAGCAGUAGUCGGAUCUGAUUGGACAAUGACUCUAAUUUCCUCUAAAAAUCCUUCUUGAGUUUAGCUCGAUUAGUACGGAUCAUUUGGGACCAACUUAUUAAAUUAGAUCCCAUAGCCUUUAUUUUUUCCAGAAAGGUACCGUUGGAAAGGUCCCGUGACCUCUCUGACCUCACCUUGGCAGCUUUCCUCCAUAACUCGAGAGGCCUCCAUUCUGAAAUUCCUUGUAGAAUUGGAUAGUCCAGCUCGAGAAAUAAAAUCUUCAGUACAAAUAUUAAUGUGUAGUGAUCCAACUGGGGUAUACCAGGUGCUGGACUGAGUAGCGUGGAAAAAGAGACCACCAGUUCAAGUUCGCCACACAUUGGUCUAGUCUCCCACAAACGUUGGUUACCAUCGUUAAGCCUUUUUCCCAUGUGAACUAAGGACUAUUGCAAACUCUACCACCCUGUUAGAAAGUGCAACUUAUCAUUGAAUUUUGAGUACGAAGGACAAGAGGGAAACUAAAUACUAUUUGGUGCUGCAAAUCUCGGACAAAAUCAGUUCCCUUCUCCUGGUUGUCUACCACAGCCAAUUCCAGGUUAUCGCCAAGCUCUUGGUUUUUUGAAACAGAGAAUUCAUUAUUCUAUGAUAAAGCCAACUCAUGGUCAACAUAGUCAGGUUUUCAAUCAGUAGCUAACUUGUUAUCAUGUCUAUAAAUAUGACCAACAUCCCCUUCUUUCUCAUGAUAAUGCCAUAAACCUAGGAUGUGAUCAUAAGCCUGUCCUGUCCCAGUGUGUCUCAAGCUAUGGUUAUGGCCUAACACCAGUUGCUGGUUCUGCUUUUAUUCUAGAUUGUGGCUUUGUGCAUAGAUCAUGUCAUGAUUAGCCAUUGAAUAAAUUAAUCACAGUGUUAAUUCACAAUGCAUUCAACAAGCCUUAUUUAUCAGCAUUUAUUUACAAAACAAAAUCACAUUGCUUUCAUUCAUUUACAUAGUUCUAACAUUAAAUUCAUUUAAAAUAAACAAGAAGUUGAAGCCCAAAGAAUGAAUACCCAAUGGAAAGAACAGCUUUAGCAAGUCCAGGAAAAUCAGACAAUGCUGAAUAAGUGCCUGAAACAAAAGCUAUCACCGUUGCAGUAAUCCCAUAACUCGUUAACAACGAAGUAAUAUACGUAUAAAAUGCAUGGGCAUCGAGUUUUUCCACAAACGAUUUGCAGUAAUGGAGGAACAUCGAUGUGGACGAGAAGCAAAAGGCCAACGCAUUAGCUAUCACAAACACUCUAAAAGCCAAUUUUCUGCUUAAAAUCGCCAUUCCUUCCUCGGGGCCAUCGCUUUUGUACCCACCGGGCGUGGUGAAACCCGCGGCGAAUGAGAUGAUGGCGAUCAGUGUUGUCACCAGUAAGUUUAUGCUGGCGAUGGUAUGGAGUUGAUCGGAGCUUGGUUUCUUGAUCGCUGCAGGUUCGGGUCUUUUGUUGGGAAUAAGUUGUGGUUGGGUUUCAAUGGCGACAGGGGACCAUGUUGUUUGUGGUUGUUCUUGAUUUGCUGUUGUCGAUUCAGUAGAUCUUGUUUUUCUUCCGUCCUUGUUGAUUGCAUGCAUGUUCUAAGCUUUCUAGACCUCUAUUGCUUGCAACACUCAUUGUAAUCCAAGUCAGUAAGUAGCUCAAUUUGAGAUAAAUAUCCAAUUAUUUGAUCUUUAGAUUUGAUUAUGCUUGUUUACCUAAUAAAAAAUUUUCAAGGAUUAAAAACUCCUCAAAUUAAAUAAGUAGAAAUAUUUUUCAAUUUUAUUGUUGCUUUAUAAUUUUGGUUGAUAUAAUAACAAAUUAAGUCUUUGAUGUUUAUAUAUUAUGUUAAUUUGAUUUUGAUUCUGAAUAAAUUAUAUAAAAAAGAUGUAUUUAAAUAUAGAUAGACUGUGUAAACUGUAAGAUUAAAUUUACUAUUAUAUUAAUUAAAAUUUUAUAAAUUGAUGAUGAAUCAUUAAUUGGUUUUAGAUUAAAAUAUUCUAUUUUUUUUGAAAAUUAUGACCCGUUUGGUUAUAUCAAAAUUGAGAGGGAUAUGAAGGAUAUUUUUACUGAUUAAAUAUAAAGUAAAAUGACACUCAGGGAUCAAUUCCAUUUUUUUAUUUUUCACUUACUCUUGAAUAACAUGAUACUUCUUGUGCAAGAGUUAGUUCGCUCAAAAUAUUCUUCAACGAAAUUACUUGAGAAGUGCACACUGCAGCAACUAUGUAUUUUACUUCACAUGUUGAAAAGGCAUUAAAUUUUAAAAAAUAAAGGUAUUGGGAUUAAAUUGAAAAUGUAUAAAGAGUAUAAGCACUUAGAACAUGUUUUGACUUUUAAAUUUUAUUCCAUAAUUUGCUCCAAAAAUUAAUUUAUUCCAAUGCGAAGCGUGGCAAGAACUAUACUAUAAUGAGUAAAUCACAGGGAUAAGCACUUCAAAUUUUCAAGAAAUUUUACAAUACUUAAAUCAAAAACUCCUAACAUUCAUAAAUAAGAGGAUAAUAAAUACUUAAGUACACUCAAAUCCUUUUGACUGUUGCAACAGCAGUGGUGCCAAUUGAUUUGAAGCUAAAGCAAUAAUUUUUAUAAAUUAUUUAAAAUUAAUUGUAAAAAAUAUAAAAUAUAAACUUAUUUUUUUAUUUUAUUUUAAAUUUUAAUAUAUAAAUAAUUAAGCGGAUGUUAACUGAGGUAUGACAUUAUUUUUAUUAUAACAAUCAGGACAAUGUGAAUUUAAACGGAAUUUUGAAUCAAAUAGUAUUGAAAAGGGUUUUCAUCAUUAUUUCCAUUAAUAUUACAAUCAUACUACAAGCCAAGCAAGUGCAGUACACCCUAAGGCUCAAACAAACCUUCAAAUUCUAUGAAAUUUUUUAGGAUUUAUUACAAACCAAGCAAAUGGAAGCACACACUAAGGCUCAAACAAUGAGGUAAGCACACACUAAGGCUCAAACAAUGCCUCAAUUUAUUAUCAACUUUUUUGCAGAGCUGGUAAUGAUAAUCGUAUGCCCCGUGAUAAUAUCAAUAUAUUACCAAGAAGGCAGUGAAGCAGCAGCCAUGAAAGCGACAAACUAUUCGUAGUUAUAAACAGUACAACGCGAGUUCAGAUCAGGCUUCCACCAAUGGCGAAGUUUAUGAGGUGAAAUGCUUUCUUCGGGAGGACUGAGAUUCUCUAUAAGAUUUGCCGAAGGAAGCAACUGAAGCGGCUCCGAAAUUGCAACAUCCAUUAUUUUCAGUUCUUUGAUCACUAUAUUUCUUAGUGAAUGAUGGCUUAUUAGUCCCCAAACUCCAACGUCGUCGCUCUUUCUUCUCUUCUUGAAAUGUUCAAUAUCUCCUUGACAUGUGAAGUCUCUACUAUUCACAAACAAACAUGGGUUCCACCCUGAUAUUGCAGCAAAUGAAUCUUCAUCACCACUAUAUCCCAAAGCAAGGACAACGCCGCCUUUGAUAACAGUGAUUGUCAGUUGAAGUCCACGUAUCACAUUCUUGUUGUCUUUGAAGAUUGUCUCAAUUGGGAAAGAUGCAUAUGGCGGAUUAAACAAAAAACUUUACAAGAAUUUGCCUCUUUUCACCGUAUUCUUUCCAGCAAGCAUUGCGAUGGCUGCCCCUAGGGAAUGACCAGUUAACCAUACCUUUGAAGAACCAGCCUUUGACACCCUAUCUUCAACAUAUUUCAUGGCGGUCCGAACACGACUAGUUUGAUGAAGUGUAUAGGAUUAUUGCGAAAUCCGACUCAAGAUCCCUUUUCCAAGUUUCUCGUUUGAAUAGGGUACCUCGAAAGGCGAUCACGUAUCCAGGGCCUGGAUUAGUUGCCGAAGGAAACACAUAUUCAAGAAUGGCACCAAAGAUGCUUUCAUCAUCCUCAUGGACGAGCUCAUUCACUAACUUGAAGUUGAAAAACUCCCACCAUUGUGGCGCAAGUGUCUCAGAGCCUCCACGUAAUUCCACUUGUCGGUCACGUUCCCGCUCGGAAACACCCUUGACCAAGCUGGCUGAUAAGGAUCUUCGAUGGCUGUCGUCGUUCCUAUCAAUGGUGGUAAGGUUUUUGGGUCCCACAAGACUAAAAGGUUCUCUUCCACGAGACGUAUAUUAUAGCACUGGAAACUAUUGACGUGGGUACGAGGGCUUUGGGUGAUGUGGGUUUCAGGCUAUAUGGUGGUUAAAGCAGGUUGUGCAAUGGUGACUGUGGUCAGUGAUGUGACAGCGCUGGCGAAUGGACCCGCGGAGCUUGGUCUGGGAGCUCUUAAAUAGAAAAUCUUGAUUAUCCAGUAUCUUCUCUUGGUCUCAGCUUUGUCAACAUUCUUACGUCAUUAAGUAUGUCAUCCCAUAAUGAGUGGAUAAAGCUCUUUUUCAGACACGGUUUAAAUCAUAUGGUUAAAUAUAUAUUUAGUUUUUUUAGAAUUUAUAUUUGAGUUAUUUUAAGAUAAAUUAUAAAAAUGGUUAUUAAAUUGAGGUGAAUUUUUUUAUUAUCUCUGAAUUCUGAAAAGUUAUAUUUUUUUAUUAAAAUUAUCUACUUAUAAUAUUUCGAUCAUUCGUAUGUUAAUAAAAAAGUGAAAUUGUAUAUAUUAAUUUAAGGGUUAAUAUUUAAUUUCAUCAUUAAACGAAUUAAUGAAUGACAAUGACUAUAUUGGGCUAUAAGUAACUUGUUUUAGUAGUAUGUUAGUCAAUUCAAAUGAGAGAAAAGAAGAGAUCAAGAACUAUAUUAGAACAAUAAAAACAUACAUUGAUUAAACAAUAGCUACAACUCUAUUCGUCCAAGUAAACACGAUACAAAAUAUGACGCAACACCAUCAUCAACACUGAACCCUCCAUUAAUGACAAUCCAAAGCUUUAGUAUGUUUCUUGGGAAAUCCAUUCAUCCCAACACCCAUGAAACUUUGCUUCUAAACCUAGGCGCUCUUCUUUGGUGGUGUAUUGCCAUAUUUCCAAGUGAAUUGCUUUAAAUCAUCAGGAUAAGUACCCCCUGCAACCUCUUGGAUUGGGAUCGCAUCUGAAAUUUCUUUCAAAUCUUCUUUUGUCAGCUUUACUUUCACUGAUUCAAUGUUGCUGUCUAGAUUUUUAAUCUUGGUUGUUCCUGUAAGAAGUGAAAACAAUGUGUCAAAAGCUUUGGUUUUAAAUCUCAAUGCAAACUGGCCGUUGGUCCAGGAACUUGUAUCGGAGUGUCCAACACGGAUAUGUUCAUUUUCCUAAGGUUUUACAUAUAUCUGGAGGAAUAUGCUAGAAAAGUCUAUGCUAUUUCUGCAGGUUACUAACUUACUCUGACUGUUUUUUCUUCGAGUAUCCGUGUCUAAUACCCAACAUAUUUUGACAUGAGUAUUGAAACAAUCCUCCAAAUAUAUGAAAAACUUCAAAAAAUAUAAGAGUUCACUUAUAUUGUAUCACCUCGGAUUCCGAGUUGAAAGUGAUUGAAUGGGACUUACCGGGAAUAGGAGAAACAUCAUCCCCUUGGUGAAGAACCCAGGCAAGUGCAAGUUGUGCCGGUGUACAUCCAUGCUUUUCAGCCAACUUCUCUACUAAUAUUUUUUAUAUUUUUUUUAUAAAAAUCAAUAAAUAUUUAAGUAAGAAAUGGACAUAAUUUAAAGUCGAAUUUUAUAGUUAUUUUUUCUUGCUUUAUUUUAAGUAUUAAUUUAAUCUAAGUUUUUUUAAGUCUUCAUUAGCUAUAUUCUUGUACACAAGUUGAGAGAAAUUAUUAAGAACAAAUCUAUUGGGUUGAUUUGGGCAUCAAGUAUAUUUUUAUCUUAGCCGCAAAUUAAUUUUUACCGGUACUACUAAAGUUGAUCAUAAUCUAUUUAGUCUAGAUCUAAACCUUAAUUUUCUGAUAAACAUGUUAAUUUACAUGAUUCUUGUGUUUAAUUUGGCUUAUUUCUGAAUUAAUCCCUGCUUAAUUGGUGUUUUUAUGGAUUAAUCUUGCCAGGGAUGCAAUUGAUCAAAAACGAGCAAAAAGGUCAAAUUGAAAGACAAAUCGUUGAGUUGGGGCCAAAUCAUAAAGAUGAGAAAGCUAAGGAUUUAACAUCAAUUUUGACUUUGUAAAAAGCUAAAAAUAGGAGAUAUUAUUUUAUGUUAUUUUAUUAUUUAUUAUUUGUUAUUUAUUUUAUUAAUUUAGCUUUAGCCUAUUUUUAGUAAACCCUAUCUAUAUAAAUAGAGACUUUUAGUUCUUAGAAAAUCAUCUCUUGUUUUUGUAUUCCUACUUCUAUUUGGAAUAGAAAUACUCUUUUUUUUUCCCUUUUCAAAUUGGAGUUUAGCAUUCUGCCACUUUUUCACUUGGUUUUGUUUCUUUUUUAAAAUUGGGCUAAUUGCCUUUCAAGCGUUUUUCUUUUACAAUUUUCAUCACCAUAAUCAUCAAUCUUUUUUUCCAAACUCACAAAGCAUGAACAAUUUCAUGCUUAACCAAAUUCCAUCUUAGCUUUAGGCCGGUGUUCUUUCCGGUCAAGAAUCCUGAGAUUCAUACUUGCACCUAAAAUCUUUUCAAUCGGUAUUCACCUUUUUCCUAAGUAUCGGGAUUGACAACUCAUCCUUUAAGGAUAAUUCGAUUUCAAGUCAAAAAGAGCUCGUUGGGUUGGAGUCGUGUUUUGUGACAGUUGGAGAAACGAAUCAACCGGGCUGUAUUUGGAUCUCCGAGAACAAAUCGAGGAAGAGGUGAUCAGGUUUAAACGACCCACGCGGUUGAGGCCGUUAAUUCGAGUUGGGUUCUUCAGAACGCAAGGCUACCGGAAUCUUGAAUCGAGAACAUGUGUAUCUCUGUUAGAUAAUCGAUAAGGGUUGGUCUGCAUGUAAUACCCCUACCCGUAUUCAUUGCCGGAAUAGGGUACGAGACAUUACCGGAGUUUACGAAUUAAAUUUUUUUUAUAUUCAAUAUAGCCCCUUUAUAAAUAUCUAACCUUCCCUGCAAUAUUAAAUCGAGACCAAUCCACAUCAACCAAAUCAAUUCAACAUAUUUUCAAGAUAAACUCAUUCAUAUUUAUAAGAUAACGUCAUCACAUAUCUAAAACCAGGUUUGUUAACCAUACUAAUGGCUAACUUUACAUUCAUUUCACGUUAACAUUUACUUUGUUAGCUUAUACAUGCCAUUGAUUUCCAAAAUAAAGUUUCUUUAUAUACCGACAUCCUGAGUUUGACAGUGUGAUGUGUCUCCGACCAAAUCCGACCUCCGAGCUCUUAACACUACAAAACAGGGAAAAAGGAAACGGGGUAAACACUUCGUGCUUAGUAAGCUCAUGUAAAAAGAAUUAUACUUACCUAAUAUUUUCAAUACAAUACAAUAAACAUCCAUAUAUCCAUUCAAUGCAUUAUUACGCUAAUAUGCACAAACUCAACAUUCAAGUUAGUACAAUAAUUUCCAUGUACCAAUAAUAUAUAUCAUGAUUGAUGAGCUCGUCAAUACCAUGAUUUCCAUUUCCUUGCUAUUUUUCCAUAUUUAUCCCGUUGAAUUUAUCGGAAUUUCGAUAGAUUUUCAGAGGUACACAUUUAUUGUACAAUCCCGGGUCCGUUAAUUCAUAUUCAUGUGCGCACAUAUCCAUUUCAGAGAGCACACUCCCACGAGCCUCAACCUUGCAGCGGGAUUACCAGUCCAGGCUAAAUCCCCUGCAAUAUAAACUCAUAGAUUAUUGUCGGGAUUACCAGUCCAGGCUAAAUCCCCUGCAACGACAAUUACUCUAAUGAGCUUGGAUCUGAAUUACCAGUCCAGGCUAAAUUCAGACCCUAAUUCGGAUUACCCGUCCGGGCUAAAUCCAUUUUACACAUAUUUUUCGGGAGGGCUAUAUCAGGAUAGGAUCACCCGUCCGGGCUAGAUCCUUUUUACCGUUAAUUCCUUUUCAGAGAUCCAUCGAAUUUUCCUUUCAUUCAACCGAUAUUUCUUCCCAUUUUAUCAAAUAUAUCAAUGUUUCAUUAAUUUUCAUACAAUGAACACUCAAAUCAUAUUCACAUCAAUAACAUACAAUCUCAGGCAUUUAAGAAUAUAAUUCAAGUUACACGAACUUACCUUGAUACUUGUUUGUAAACAAUAAAAAUCUACUAAUCCCGAACUUUUUCCUUUCCUCGAUCUAGCUUCGUAUUUGAAUCUUCCGGAUCUAAAUAAAUAAAUUUAAUUAUCAAUUUAAUACAUUUCAUGUUCAUAUGCAACAUUCUCUAUGAUUCAACUAUUAUUUAUAGUUCAUUCAAAGCUGUCUACUUGAGUCAUAGUCACUAAAUUAUUUAUAACUUGAGCUAUGGAACUCCAAAUUAAGAUCCAUUAAUUUUUACUGAAACUAGACUCAUAUAUAUUUUUACCAUAAACUUUUCAGAAUUUUUGGUUUAUCCAAUAAGUACAGUUUAUUCUUUAAAGUCUCCCCUGUUCUGCUGUCGACAGUUCUAACCCUUCUUCACUAAAAAUUAAUUAUCUCUUCAUACAGAAUUCAAAUAAUGUUCUCGUUCAUUUCUAUUAAAAAUAGACUCAUUAAGGAUUCUAUACAUAUAAAUUUAAGCCCAUAAUUGUUUUUCUUCAAUUUUUUAUGAUAUUUCAAAGUCAGAACAGGGGAACCCGAAUUCAUUCUGACCUUGUCUCACAAAAUUAAUUAUAUCUCAAAAUUUACAAAUCCAUUACUUACACUAUUUCUUCUAUGAGAAACUAGACUCAAUAAGCUUUAAUGACAUAUUUUUUUCAUCUUCUAAUUCGAUUUUUACAAUUUAUGGUGAUUUUUCAAAAUUAGUCUACUGCCGCUGUCCAAACUGUUUUUGUGCAAGCUGUUUAUUACCAUUUUUCCCCUAAGCUUUUAAUAAAUGAUAAUUUCGUCCCUACUCAAUUAGCCUAUCAAUUGAGCUGAUUUUUCUCAAUUAACAUUUUAUUCUAUCACCUUAAACUAGUUUACAACCUUUAGGAAUUAGAAUUUCAGCAAUAGACUUUAAUUCCAAGCAUUUUCACAAUUAGGUCCUAAAAUCAAUUUCUAUUGAAAUUACCUAAUAAAAUCAUCUCAUAAACAAAUUAAAGCUUUAAUUUCAUUCUAUUUCAUCAUAAACUUACAGAACUCAACCAUGGUGACUUUCAAUUUCAUCCAUGAAAUCAAAAACUAAUGAAUUUAAUAGUAGGACCUAGUUGUAAAAGUCUUAGAAACACAAAAAUUACAAGAAAAAGGCAAGGAUUAACUCACUUGGUGCAAAAAUUAUGAAAUACCAGCUUAGAGAACCCUUCUAUGGCGUUUUUAGCUGCUAGAAUUGAAGAGAAAUGAAGAGAAAUCUAGAUAUUUCCUAUUUAGUCCUAGUUUUAUUUAGUUAAUUUUGCAAUAUUCCAAUUUUACCCUUAAUUUAUCAAUUUUUCUGCUGAUUUCAUACCCUUGCCGUCCAGCCCAAAUAACUUUUGGGUCUAAUUUCCUUUUAAAUCCUUUCUCAUUAGACUUUUAAGCUAUUUAAUCAUUCUAGCAACUUUUACACCUAUUACAAUUUAGUCCUUUUCAUUUAAUUGACUACCCAAACAUUAAAAUUUCCUAACGAAAUUUUAAAACCACAUUAAUAACAUUUCAUAAAUAUUUAUAAAAUUAUUUUUGACUCGGUUUUACGAGAUAGAGGUCUCGAUACCUUGUUUUUACCCAAUUUCUUCAAUAAUUUCUUUUUCUAUCUAAUCACUAAAUCGGUAAAAUUUUUCUAUCAAUAUUUUCAUACGAUUUUCCUAUCAUAUCAAUUUUCAUGAAAAAAUAUUGAAAUAAAUUUCUCUUUAAAUCGGAUUUGUGGUUACGAAACCACUGUUCUGAUAAUUUUGAAUUUAGGCUAUUACAUUGCAGGUUGUACUGAGUCCAGCUACGAGAGGAAGAAUUGGUGGUUAGGACGUUCUUAACCACUAUAACCAGCUUAUCAUUUUAAGGAGAAGAUCAAUUUUUGAGGAUCGAUUCUCAACACGGAAUUUACUGAGUCUAAGGCUAAGGCUCAUUACAUUUGAUUGCAAAUCCCAAUUUAAUUUCUGAUUUAUUUAAUUAUUUAUCUUAGCAGUUUUGAUUAUUUAAUUUCUAAUCAAUUUUAAAAUCCCCCGCUUUACUUAUUUAUUUGCUUAUUUUUUAGCUGGUACGUUUUGAGUCGUGGGCACGAAUCUAGCCACGACCCUUGACACGACAUUCUGUUCAUAAGCCAAACUCAAAAGUUGAUUAGAGUACCAAUCCCUGUGGACUCGACCCUACUACCACUCUUCCUACUAUCCAGAGUAUUUAGUAGGAACUAUAUUUGGUGAAUUCGACGCCCAUCAAAUUUUGGUGCCGUUGCCGGGGAUUAUAGAUAUUUUCUAACUUUUGUUUGUCUACCUUAUGACCAGAUCAGAACAGGGAAAUCUAGAGUUUGAGCCAGAAAUUGAGAAAUUGGCCCGACAACUACAAAGAGAAGCCAUAUGACAUGGUAAACGGCCAAAUCUCGAAUUUGAAACUAUAUCUUACACCGAAGAAGUUUUUGACGAACCAGACGAGAUGGCCGAACAAACUAUACGCCAGCUCGCAGCAGCACCGGAUGAACAACAGCCCUUAUGUAUAACCUAUCCAGUAGGAGGAACGCCGUUCGAGCUAAAGUCGGGUUUGAUCCACCUACUACCCACUUUUCGUGGAUUACAGAAUGAAAACCCGCACACCCACCUUAAAGAAUUUCAUAUGGUGUGCACAAGCAUGAAGCUUCAGGGAGUAACCGAAGACCAAAUCAAACUUCGUGCUUUUCUUUUCUCACUGGCCGACUCUGCUAGAGAGUGGCUAUUUUAUUUACCUCUAGGAUCUGUCAACACAUGGUCUGACAUGUCUCGUUUGUUUCCUGAAAGGCUCUUCCUUGCAGCCCGAGUGACCAAACUAAGGAGGGAUAUCGUAGGAAUCCAUAAGAAGGACACUUAAUCGCUCUACGAUUACUGAGAGCGAUAAAAAAAGUUGUGUACGAGCUGCCCACAACAUGGAUUGACUGAGCAGUCACUCUUGCAGUAUUUUUAUGAGGGUUUACUCCCGAUGGAAAUGAAGAUGAUAGAUGCUGCAAGUGGAGGGGCACUCGUUAAUAUGACACCCCAGAGAGCGAGAGAGUUGAUUUCAACCAUGGCUGCCAACUCUCAACAAUUUCGACCGGUUACAAAACCUACGAGACGGGUUCAUGGGUUAAGUUCUUUGUCUCUAAAAGAUAAGAUUGAUAAGCUGACUAAUGUUGUUUAAACUUUACUUUCAGAUAAAACAGGCCCAGUACGGUUAUGCGAAAUUUGCGCCAAGCCAGACUGCCCGACGGACUCAUGUCCAAUUUUACAAGAGGAUUCGACAGAAUAAGCGAAUGUUAUCGGGAACUUCCCAGGACUACCCUAAAAAUGGUAUGACCCUUACUCGAACGCGUAUAAUGUGAGGUGGAAGGAUCGCCCAAAUCUCAACUAUGGGACAAAUUUGCAGUUCAAUCAACCGUUCCAACAAAGGCCACCGCAGAAUCAACAGAUACUACCCCCAAAGUCAUCUUUGGAGGCCAUAGUGGAAAGGUUAGCCAACAGUACUGAGAAUUUCCAAUAAAAAAUUGACAUGCAUUUGUAGGAGUUGGACAAGCAAGUGAGCAAACUCGCACUCACAGUUAGCCGUUUGGAGUCCCAAGGUAAGCUGCCAUCCCAGACUGAGCCAAAUCCACGACACAAUGCAAGCGCUAUGAUGCUAAAGAGUGAUAAGGUUUUGGAGCCCGUACAUGAUACAAGUCGAGGCCACGAUACUAGUCGCGCCCAUGACGCUAGUCAAGAUAGGGAGAAACUUGGCACAGAGGCUCUAGUGGAGUCGAGACCACAAAAGUCAUUUGCAGUACCACCUCCAUUUCCCGGACGACUUGUCCAAUGUAAGAAUGAGCGAGACGAGAUGGAGAUCCUAGACACCUUCCGAAAGGUGGAAAUCAACAUACCUCUUUUCGAUGCAAUUAAGCAGAUCCCACGAUACGCGAAGUUCCUGAAAGAGUUAUGCACGAGUAAAAGGAGACUUUUGGGAAAUGAAAAGGUAAGUGUCAGAGAAAAUGUCUCUGCCAUUCUGCAACGGAAAAUACCGCCCAAAUAUAAGGACCAAGUUAUGUUUUUCAUAUCUUGUAAAAUAGGUAGCGUUGGUAUUAAAAAAGCAAUUUGUGACCUAGGCGCAUCAAUUAAUGUUAUGCCUUUGUCAAUUUAUAAAUUACUUAACGCGGGUCCUUUAGAGGAAAUAAGCGUGAUAAUCCAGCUUGUAGAUAGAUCUGUGGUGCAUCCGGAGGGAGUAUUACAGGACGUUCUUGUCAAGGUAAACGAGCUAAUAUGUCUUGUAGACUUCUACAUCAUCGACAUGGAGGAUGACAAUUCGGCCAAUGCAUCAGACAUACUUCUUGGAAGGCCAUUUUUGAGUACCGCACAAACUAAAAUUGACGUAAGAAGUGGGAUACUCACUAUAGAGUUCGAUGGGGAAGUAGUAAAAUUCAAUGUCUACGAAGCCAUGAACCGUCCUAACAUGAUUUCUAAUGUUUCUAAUAUUGAUAUUAUUGAUCCUUUAAUUGAGUUACAUUUGGAAUAUCAUGACAAGGAUGAGUUACAAACUGUCUUUUGCAGGAGUUUUGUGACAGCCUUAAUUUUGACCCUAGUCGGAAAGUGGUUUCGGGACCACAAAACUGAGUCAUAAAAAUAAUUAACUGUUAAAUUCUAUGUUUAUUAUAUGUGUAAAUGCAUGUGUGAAAGUUUCAUGCUUUGAUUUUGUCAUUUGUAUAUGAAAUUUAUAAGAUAGGACUCAUGUGAUAAAACUUGAAAGUGUGAUAGGUAAAUUUUAAAGUGCCAAAUAAUGCAUGAAAUGUUGACAUGAGGGAUUUGCAUGUCAAAUGGACCAAUUUUGUUAGUGGCCGGCCAUAAAUGAUGGUUGAUGUAUAAUAUAUGUUUUAUUUAAGUAUUAUAAUAAGUAAUGGCUUUAUUUUUGAAAUAAAUUAAUUAGUAAAACAAUAAAAGAUGAUAAAAAAAAAUAGAUGUUCAUCUUUCUUUCUUGAUUGCCGAAUUUGGGAAAGAAAAAUAGUGAAGAAGAAGCCAAGGCAUUCGGCCAUGGUUAUCUCCAUUUAAAGGUAUGUAAUGCAAUUUUUAUUUGUAAUUGAUUAUGAAAUUAAAUAGAUAAAUACAUAGCAUAGUUAACCCAUGGUUUAAAUUCAUGAAUCAAUGAACAAGUGUCCUUUUGGCAAGUGCUAAAUUGGUAUUAUUUUGAUAAGUUUUUGGAAAGAUGUUAGUUAUAUGUUAAGUAGCUUAAAUGAUGGUUGAAUAAGUAGAAUUCAUGGUUGAAAAGUAUGAAUUGAAAUUGCCGUAUGUGUGUAUAUGCAUUUUGGAAAGAAAAAUGUUGUUGUUUAGUUGAGUUUUCAUUUGAUACGUACAUUCAGUCAAAAGGGGGGGAGGAAUAAGAUGAAUUUAAAAUGUUGUGGUUUGUUUUUAAAGUUGGUUAAAUAGUUGUGGUCAUUGCCGAAUACAUUUGUGUUAGGGGAAAAUAUGAUUAAGUAUCGGUUUGAUGAGCUAAAUAUAUAUGUAUAUUCGGCUAUAUAAAUUUGAUGUGUACUUGAAAAUAUAAUAACCCUUAAGAGAUUGUGUUUGUGUAUGUGAACUAGAUGUUUUAUGGAUAUUCGGCUAAAAGGGUAAAUGGCUAAGUCAUAGGAAUUGGGGUGAUAUACAUUAGGUCAUUGGGGUUAUAUGUACUUGGUAAUGUGAGUUAUGUAUUAAGUAAGUUAUUUCUUCGAAAUGUAUAUUCGGUCAUUGUUUAGCAUAGGUGAAACCUAUGUACAAUUUGCUACAUUUGAUCAUAAAAUGGAAUUUGUAUAUGAAAGCUAAGUUUGAGUGGUUAGGGCCGAAUGUGGUAUAUGAGAUAUUAAGGCAUGUUAUGAUUAUAUAUAUGUGUGUAUACGUGGUUGUGCAUAAAAUGAGUAAUUGAUUAAAUUGUGUUAGUCACACAUAGGUAUAUAAAAAUAUAUGCCUUAGGUAAGUACCUUGUAACAUAGAGACAUUCGGUUAUACAUAUAUGUAUAUAUUAUAUAGAUAAAUUCGUGUAAAUAAUAGGCAUGAUAUCGAGUCAUGGUACAUUUUAUAAAACUUAACAUGUAUGGAAGUUAUAUGAUUAUCAAAUGUGAUUAUUAAAGAAUUAAAGUUGAGUAGGUAAUUAAACAAAUUCAAUUGUUUAAUUUUAAAGCUCAAGAGCAAAGAGGAAAUAAAUCAGAUAAGGGGAAGGAGAAAGCAAUCGAGUAGCCUAUCCGUAACUGUUCAAUUAUACCCGAGGUAAGUUUUGAGUAGUUUCUUUUAGUAUGAAAUUGAUAACGCUUUUAUAAGAGUAUAUUAAGUGAAUUGAAAUCUUUGGUUUGUUCUUGAUUAUAGUUGUAUAAUAAAUAGUGUAUGUAUACCAUUAUAGUAUAAUGGUCACUUUGGGUUUAAUAUUGAAUGGUGAAAUGAAUGUGUGGUAUUAAGUAUAACUCUUGAGCCGAAAUGUGAAUGAUGAUGUGCAUAUUGAGCUUAUAUCCGUAUGUAGUAAAUGAUUACUAAAGUGAUAGGUUGAAUGAGACAUGUUAAAAUAUGACUAAGUAUGCAUGGUAUUUGAAAUAUAUCCGGACAUGAGGUCUGUAGGCUAUAUGCUGGGAAUAUAUCCGGACAUGAAGUCCGCAGGCUAUGUGCUGGAAAUAUAUCCGGACAUGAGGUCCGCAGGCUAUGUGCUGGAAAUAUAUCCGGACUUGAAGUCCGCAGGCUACGUGCUGGAAUGGUACCCGGGUUAAAGACCCGUGGACUUGUGUUAUAAAUGUGUUUCAAGUUCUAAGACUUGACAGGACCGAGGCCAGUAAGUUAAGUAAGACUACGAUAUUGAAUGUCCGUGGUAACCAUCAUCGAGUAAGUAACAUAUAUACUUUACAUGUUAACGUACGUAUUAUGUGCUCAUAUGUGAAUUGAUUUCAAAAUGAUUUAUUAGUAUCAAAGAACCAUGUAUAUAUAUAUAGGUGUGUGGAUGAAUUCGGUAUUUUAGGAUAAGACAAUGACAUAUUCGGUCACUGUAAGUCAUUAUAGGAAAAUAUGUGACUAAACGUAAUUGUAUAAACCAUGUAGAUAAUGAAACAUGUGCUAGAAAUUUUCUUGUGUAUACAUAAAUACAUAUUCGGCCAAUAGAAUUUAUAACUAGUGUACUUGUGUAUAUUUGGCCAAGUGAAUUACAAUUAGAAUACGAGUUUUGUGAUAUUUAAUGUUCGUUUUAUAUGAUACGUUUUGAUUGUUUGAGAUGCUUAAAACUUACUAAGCAUAGUAAUGCUUACUUUGGUGCCUUAAUUCUUUGUUUUAUAGAUCUUGUUCGUCAGCUACGGUCUCGGGGAUCUCAAAGUCGAAGUCGUCCACACUAUCUAAGCCUUUUGGUACUCUAGUAGCUAAAUUUCGAUAAUGUAUAUAUGCAUAGCCAUGCGAAAAUGGCUUGAUAAGUUACUAUAUGUGUUCCAAAUGGUUAGUGUGAAUGUGUGGUUGAGAUUUGAUUAAUGUUUUCAAUGUUUGAUUUGAAUUGAACUUAAGAAUGAAUCACUAUACCUAAUUAUCUUGAUAUGACUCUUUUGUAUAUGGUAAUAAUCUUUAACCCUCUGGCGACGGGUACGGGUUAGGGGUGUUACAAGUUUUGUAACAUCUCCUAACCCUAUACCAUCGCCGAAACAGGGUUACAAGACAUUACCAGUCCGUACAGUCCAAUUCUGGUCAUUAAUUAAAAUAAAUAUUCACACUCAUCCUAGUUUUAUGAUGUCGUCCCUUUAAUGGGCCCUCGCAGUCCAAUAUGAACAAUAAAUUCAAUUCAGGACUAAUUUAGAAUCACUACGAAUUUUUAGUAAAUUUCAAAGUUCAUAUUAUAUACCGUUGCCAACCAUAAUUUACUUAUUUCAUCAAUACUUCUACAACUUAAAUGACUCUCAUAAAACAUCCUAGGUACAUGCCAUUACCAAUACUCGACAUACAUUACCUCAUUGAAUUCAGAGUCGGCCUGGGAUGCUGAUUCAACGGUCUAACCUUAACUUAACCUACGCACGAAAAUAAAUCGUACGCUGAGUAUACACUCAGUGGUAUUUCUAUAAUCUGAACACUUAAACUGUAAUAUCCUGAAUUAGGGAUUAAUCGGAAUAGUGGUUUCGUGACCACAAAUCCGAGAUAGAAAUAAUUAUUUUAUAAUUAUUUUGAUGAUUAUAAUAUGAUUGCAUGAUUGUGUGAAAAUUUCGUGAUGAAAUUCUAUGCCUAAAAUGCUUAAAUUGAAAGUAGGGACUAAAUCGAAUAAGUUGCAAAAUUUGCAUUCUAGAAGUUUUUAGUAUGAAAUUGCAUUGAAAUAUUAAUUAGGAGAUCUUAAAUAGCAAUUUGACCAAUUUUAAGUUCAUGGACAAAAUUAGGACAUGGAAGGAAUUUUUAGAAAGUUUAGUAGUAAGGGCAUUUUGGUUAUUUAGUUAUUAAAAUGAAUUAAAAACAAAAUUAAAAGCCAAUUUUUGUCCAUCUUCUUCAUUAGGCCGAAAUUUCAAGGGUUCACCAUAGUUAGGGUUUGUUUCAAGCUUCCAAACUCCAUAAUCAAGAGAAACGAGAUUCAAGUCGCGAUCGAGGAAAAGAAAAUAUUGUGGACUAAAUUGCAAAAUCUUUAUAUUUUGGUACCAAGGUAAGUUCAUGUGUAAAUAAUGUAGCAUAAUUGUUAUUUUUAAGUUAUUGAUGUUAAUUAUAUGAUAUGCUGAUUUUUAUAUGAAAUAUAUGCUUUGUGGUUAUUUUCGAAUAAAAUGCAAAUUAUGUGUAUUAAUUGUUAAAUAUAAAGUCCUACCGAGUAUUGGUUUUGGUAUUUUACAGAAGAUGGCAAGGAUAUGUGUUCGAGGAAAAUCCCGUUUGAACCUUAGGAAUAGAUUAGGAUACAAAUGACAUGUCACUAGGAUGGUUGAGCAUCCAAACUCGUUAAGUUGAGUCCGAGUUCACUUAUGGAUGCGAAUGUCCGAACUCGUUGAGUUGAGUCCUAGUUCGUGAAAUGUAACUAGGCAUCCGAACUCGUUGAGUUGAGUCCGAGUUCACUUAUAGAUGCGAACGCCCGAGCUCGUUGAGUUGAGUCCGAGUUCACUUAGGGGCAGGUUACGUGAUUUCUUGAUUACACAUGAGGCACUUAUGUGCAAAUUAUCCGUGUAUCCGAGUUGUAUUCCGAUGUGUUCAACGGGUGAAAUUUCUAGUGAAAUGAAAGAACACUUAAGAUGCAAGCGACGUAUUGGUAAGUGUUGUGAAAUGGACACUUUGGGCAGGUAUGUUCUUAACCCUCGGGUUGAUAAUAGAUACAACAACGAUAAGGUGGUAAGAUGAUGAAUGAUGUUUAGAAAUAUGACAUAUGUUUUGGUGAUACCAUGCUAAAGUUGUUUGGUAUAUUUGUAUUGUUAUGUUACUUGUUAUUUACAUAUGAACUUACUAAGCAUUUAUCCUUACUCCCUCCUCUUUAUUUACUGUAGUUUUGAACAAGCCAGCUCGGGAAUCGGGACGGGUUGAAGGUUCGAUCACACUAUCUAAAGGACUUUCAUCUGGGUAAAUGGCUUGUAAAACUUAAGUAUGGCAUGUAUAGCAAUAUACUUAUUUUCUGUAAAUAAUUUUAUGAUAUGGCCAUGAUUGGUUGAGAAAAUGUUUGAUAUUGAUAAGUCAUGGUGAUGGUUAAAUUUAGAUCAUGUUUGAUAUCAUGGAAGUUUAAUAGGUUAUCUAGUUCAUAACAACUCAUGAAAAGAUGAAAUUUGCCUUAAAACAGAAUAUUACUGCAGCAAUGACAUGAAUUUGAAAAAUUACUAAAAAUAGUAUAAAUAGAAAUAAAUGAUGAGUAAGUUAUAAAAUUGAAGAUUAAUGACUCUAUUUUCAUGUGGAUUGAACAAAACAGGCAUAUAAAUUAUAUUUUAUGAGAUAUUUAAACUUUUGUGAAACAGGGCCAGAGUGAUUUCUGGAUCCCCUGUUCUGACUUUAAAAAUUCAUAAUAAAUUUUACAAAAAUGAUUAGAAGUUUUUCUUUAUAUGUACAGAUUCCUUAUUGAGUCUAGUUUUAAGAGAAACAAACGUAAUAGUCAUUUAAAUUCUGUAUAGAGAGAUAUCUGAUUCGUAAUACACAGAGGUCAGAACAGUCGAACUCUGAAACAGGGGAGACUUUAACUAAUAAACUGUACUAAUUGGCCCAACCAAAAAUUCUAGAAAAAAAUUAGUAAAUAUAUUUAUGAGUCUAGAUUUAGGGAAAAUUUACGGAUUUUGAUUUCGAGUUUUGUAACUCGAGAUAUGAUUUUUCUUGUAACUGUGACGCAGGUAGCUAGAACGCUGUGAAUGUAGAAACAAAUGAUUUGAAGUUUUUAAUUUGAUAAAUUAUGUUCGGUAACUCCUCAAGCUCGACUCCGGCGACGGUUUCGGGCGUGGGGGCGUUACAUAAACAAUUAUAAAACAUAUUAAUUUAUAUAUAUUGAACUAUUCAAACUCAAUGAGAAUUCAAACAUUCAUUUUCCAACCAAUGUUUUGGUCUACUUUAAAUUUCAAAUCAUUUAUUAUUUUUCAAUAGCAAUUAAUCAAUCAGUAAUGUUCAUUAACACUCAGAACAAUUAUUUAUUCAGUAACAGUCAGUUAUUCGGUAACAAUCAAUUAUUCAAUAAUAACCAGUUAUUCAAUAUCGAUCAAUUGAUCGGUUAUCCAGUAACAGUCAAUUAUUCAGUAAAAUCAGAUAUUCAGUAACUAUUAAGGUAUUUAGUAGCAGUCAUUCAUUCAGUGACAAUCAGUUAUUCAGUAAUGAUCAAUUAUUCAGUAAUAUUCAGUUAUUCAGUAAUAGUCUAAUAUCCAGUAACAGUCAAUUAUCCGGUAACAGUCAAUUAUUCAGUAAUAAUCAGUUAUUUUAUACCUUUAUUUACCCCUAUUAACAUGACUCGGACUCAGACAGAUACACGGAUCCAACCAACACACCAGUACGGCACAUAGUGCCUCAUCGGCCGAAGCCGGAACAAUAAUAGUAACAGUAGCAGUACGGUACAUAGAGUACCUCAUCGGAACAAAUCCGGAACAGUAACAGUAACAGUAACAGUAUUCAACACACAAAGUACUGAAUCGGUAACGGUAACAGUAACAAUAUUCAACACACAAAGUGUCGAAUCGGUAACGGUAACAGUAACAAUAUUCGACACACAAAGUGCCGAAUCGAUAACAGUAGCAGUAACAAUAUUCGACACAUAAAGUGCCGAAUUGGUAACAGUAGCAGUAGCGGUAACAGUAACGAACACAUAAGUGCCUAAAAUACGGCACAUAAAGUGCCCGAUCGGUAAAGUCGAUAAAUCCCGUACUCUUCCAAUCCUAUGGCAUGCCAAUUAUAUCUGACUAGCCCGACAAGUUAAUAGGAAAUUUAAUUCUUAUUCCAAUUUUACUUAAUAUUCAUGUUUACCCCUAUUAACAAGACUCGAACUUUGGCGGAUAUACCGAUUCCAACCAAACACACCAGUAUGGCACUCAGUGCCUGAACACUUCUAAAUCCUAUGGCAUGCCAACUAUAUCCGACUCAGUCCGACUAGUUAAUAGGAUAUUCAAAUCAUUUUUCUAUUUCAAAUUCGCUUUCAAUUUAAUCACAAAUUCUCAUAUUUCAAUAUCCAACCAAUACACAUUUCAAUUAAUCAUAAUUCCAUUCCAUUCAAUUCAAUUCAAUUCAAUUCAAUUCAAAUUCACUUAUCCACUUUCUAAUCAAUAUACAAUUAAAAAUCAAUACAUAUUUCAGAUAUUCACAUAUAAUCAUACUUCGAUUUAAUUCCAACCACUUUUCAAUCAAUACACAAUUCACAUAUUUACACAUAUUCAUAAUUUAUUUUAUUUUUAUUCAAUUCAUAUUUUUUAUUUAUUUAUUGUCCAAUCAAAUUUAAAAUCACUAAUUUCUUUUCAAUCAAUAUACAUUUCAAAUAAUCACAUUCAAUUCAAUUUGGUUCAAUUCCAUAUCAUCCAAUCAAAGCCAUUCCAAUAUUAACUUCUCAUGUAUUUUAUUUGUUUCACUUUUCCAAUCAAUUUACAUUUUAAUUUCAAUUUCAAUUCAAUAACAAUUCACAUAUAUCCAUAAAUCAAUUCAAUAUAAUCAAUAUUCAAUCCAAUUCAUAUAAUCAUCUCAAAACACCUACUACAUAUAUAUAUUAAAUAAUAAAUCCAAUAAUUUAAGUAUUAAGUUCGGAUUAUAAAAAUACAAACCAUAAUUUCCGAGCUAACUCCCGUUGACUUUGUCUUGUCCUUUCUUAGCUGAGAUUUUCGGUACCACAUUGACUACGAAAUUAAUACAAUUCAUAAUCAUUAAUACAUUACUAAUUUAUAUCUUGAGUUACAGAAUUCUAAAUUAAGAUCCGCUAAUUUCUCCUGAAACUAGACUCACAAAUCUUCUUACCAUAAAAUUUUCAGAAUUUUUUGUUUAGCCAUUAAAUACAGUUUAUUCUUUAAAUUCACCCCUAUUCUGCUGUCUGACAGUUUCGAUCCUUCUUCACUAAAAAUUAAUUAUCUCAUAGUACAGAACUCGGAUAAUAUUCCCGUUGAUUUUUCCUGAAAAUAGACUCAUUGGGGAUUCUAAACAUAUAAAUUUAGCCUCUAAUUAUUUUUAUUCAAUUUUUGGUGAUUUUCCAAAGUAUGAACAUGGGAACUCGAAUUCAUUCUGACCUUGUCUAACAAAACUCAUUAUAUCUCAUAAUUUACAAUUCAAUAGGUUACACCGUUUCUUCUAUAAGAAAUUAGACUCAAUAAGCUUUAAUUCCAUAUUUUAUUCAUCCUCUAAUUCAAUUUAUACAAUUUUUUUUAUUUUUCAAACUUAAACUACUGCUGCUGUCCCAAACAGUCAUAAUGCAAAAUGUUGAUUUUCUUUAAUUUCAAUUUAAUCCUAACUAAAUUCACUUACUUUUCUAUCUUAAUUCAUACUUUAUUUCUACUCAAUUUUUAACCAAACUUAGACAAAAUUAUCUAUUUUUCAUCAUAAAACCAUAAUUUCAAAAUUCUUUUAAUUUAGUCCUUAAAGCAUAAAACUUAUGAAUCACUUUACAAUUCAAUCCUUAUUUCAUUUCUAACUUGAAUUUCUAUCAAUUUAGCCCUUAAUUCAUCUUUUUAUUCAACUUAAUCAACACAUAAAAAUUCAUUAACUUCCUAAUUUUUGAUAUAAUUCAUGUAGUACUCUUCUCUAGAAUUCCAUAAACAUCAAAAUUAUAAGAAAAGUGAUCAAAUUGACUUACCUAGUAAAGCUUAAGGCUUCAAAAACCCUAAUUUUCCUUUUAUUUUUCUUUCCUUCCUUUCUUUCCCCUGUUUCGUCUGCUUCUCUGUUUCUUUUUUUUUUUCUUUUGUUUUACUUUAUAUAUAUAUAUAAUAUAAUAACAAUAAUAAUAAUAAUGACUUUAUUAAAUAUCUACUUAAUAUCAAAUAUUUAUUUUACACUUGGGUACACAUAUAUUAUUACAUUCGUAUUUCAUCCUCACCAUACACUUGUCAUUUUACAUUUAUUUAUUAUAUAAAUAUAUUAUAAUAUAAUUAUUUAUUUAAUAAAUAUCUCUCACUAAAUAAUAAAUAUCCAUUUAAUAUCAAAUACAUAUAUUAAAAAUUUAUGUAUUUUUUUAUUAAUACAUAUAUUAAUAUAUUACCAUACACUUUUCUUUAUUUAAUCUAUUCAUCAUAUAAUAUCAAUUUAAUAAUAAUCAAUACAUUAGUUAUUUACUUAAAUAAUAAGUAAAUACAUACGUGUAUUACAAAUGUAUGUAUAAUACUUAUUACACAUGUAUUUUAUUUUUGCCAUACACUUGGCACUCCUUUGGCUUAUUUACUUAUUUAGUCCUUUCAAUUUUUUUAUCCUAUAAUUAAACUUUCACACUUCAUUCAACUUAAUCCUUUUAUCUAAUUAUCCUUUAUUUAAGCUAAUUUGCUUCAUUAAACUUUAAUUAAUCACUCUCUUAACUUCGUAAAUAUUUUUAAUAAAUAUUUACAAAUCUAUUUUUCAGAAACGGAGACCCGGAAAUGCACUUUUUCGAUAACUGUAAAAAUUCGGGUCAUUACAAGUUUGGACUUUGAUGCCAUUAAGAAACUUGAGGAGAGGAUAACCAUUGAAGAUUCUACUCACGAAAUAGUACUCAUAUGGAGGCAUUGCAACUAUGGAAAGCUUCAGGUAAAACCUUUGAAUUAUCUCCCUCACAGACUAAGCUCGUACCAUCUGUUUUGCAGGCUCCGAAGUUGGAACUCAAACCACUCCCAAGCCACUUGAAGUAAGCUUUUCUCGGUGAAAAAAAUACACUACCAGUGAUAAUAUCGAGUAAACUCAAGAGGGCAGAAGAAGAAAACUUGGUACGAGUCCUUAGUGACUAUAAAAAGGUAAUUGGAUGGACAAUAGACGACAUUAAGGGGUUGAGUCCCUCGACUCGCUUGCAUAAAAUUCAAGUGGUGGAUAAUGCUGUACCUAAAAGAGAGGCUCAAAGGCGUCUCAAUCCGCCCAUAAUGGAAGUGGUAAGAAAAUAAGUCCAAAAGCUACUUGACGCCGGGAUGAUCUAUCGCAUUUCCGGCAGUAGUUGGGUUAGCCCAGUCUACGUAGUACCAAAAAAGACGGGUGUGACUGUAAUUGAGAAUUUGGCAGGUGAGAUGGUUCCCACUCGGGUCCAAAACGGGUGGAGAGUCUGCAUCGAUUACAGGAUGUUGAAUUUCUUAACUCGAAAAGAUCACUUUCCACUUUCUUUUAUUGACCAGAUGUUAGAACAUUUAGCUGGAAAGUCUCACUAUUGUUGUCUUGAUGGUUACUCAGGGUUUUUCCAGAUUCCAGUGGCACCAGAGGAUCAGGAGAAGACGAUAUUUACAAGCCCAUUUGGCAUAUUCGCUUACAAACGGAUGCCAUUCGGACUCUGUAAUGCACCAGCCACUUUUCAGAGGUGCAUGGUAAGUAUAUUUUCAGACUACGUUGAGAAAAUUAUCGAAGUGUUCAUGGACGACUUUACUGUAUAUGGUGAGUCCUUCGAGGUAUGUCUGACUAACCUUGCAAAAAUUUUGGAAAGAUGCUUAGAAUUUAAUCUUGUUCUAAAUUAUGAGAAAUGCCAUUUUAUGGUAGACAAUGGAUUAGUUCUAGGUUAUAUUAUUUCUGCAGAGAGAAUUUCUGUCGAUAAAGCAAAAAUCGAGAUCAUUAACUCACUACCAUACCCCACUACUGUGAGGGAGAUUCGAUCUUUCCUUGGUCAUGCAGGUUUCUACAGGCGGUUUAUUAAAGACUUUUCGAAAAUUGCGCAACCCCUUUGCAACCUAUUACAGAAGAACAAUGAAUUUGAGUUUGACCAGUCAUGCAAAGAAGCGUUUGACACUCUCAAACAUAAGCUCGUUUCGGCACCUAUUGUUCAACCACCGAAUUAGAGUUAUCCUUUCGAGAUAAUAUACGAUGCUAGUGACCAUAGCGUGGGAGCAGUCUUUGGAUAAAGGAUCGAGAAGGAACCACACGUUAUCUCCUAUGCCUCUAAAACUUUAAACGCCGCGCAAAUCAAUUAUUCAACCACUGGAAAGGAGUUUCUAGCUAUAGUCUUUGCCUUAGAAAAAUUUCGUUCAUAUUUAUUAGAAACUAAUAUUGUAGUUUUUUUUUAUCAUGCAGCCCUCAAAUAUCUGAUCGGGAAAAAGAAAGCAAUACCUAGAUUUAUAAGGUGGAUACUACUUCUGCAAAAAUUCAAUCUCAAAAUAAAAUAUAAAAAAGGAUGUGAAAAUUUGGUGGCUGACCAUCUGAGCCGAAUUCCUCUAUCAACGGACGUAACACCACUUAAAGAUGAUUUUCCGGAUGAAAACUUACUUACUGCCCAGAUGAUUUUUCUUUGGUAUGCAGACAUGGUAAAUUAUCUUGCUACAGGUAUGGUUUCUCCUAACCUUUCGCGAUAUGAAAAAGACAAGAUCAAACGUGAGUCUUGAUACUAUAUUUGGGAUGACCCCUAUUUUUGGAAGUACUGUUCUGACCAGGUAAUUCGCCGAUGCAUUCCUGAAACUGAGGUAAAAUCCAUUCUAUCCUUUUGUCAUUCUUAUGCAUGUAGUGGGCAUUUUGGCCCCAAACAAACUGCGCAUAAAAUACUUGAAUGAGGACUAUAUUGGCCAAAUAUUUUUGUGACACAUAUCUGUUUUCUAAAACUUGCAAAAAGUGUCAAAAUGUAGGAAACUUGAGACGAAAAAAUGAAACGCCUCUAAACUCUAUACAUGUCUGUGAAAUUUUUGAUAUAUGGGGCAUUGAUUUUAUGGGCCCUUUUUUCUCAUCGUUCGGUAAUGUUUAUAUUUCACUUGCUAUUGACUAUGUGUCAAAAUGGGUAGAAGCAAAAGCCACUCGUCGUGUUGAUGCCAAAAUAGUAGUCGAUUUUCUGAAAAGUUGUAUUUUUUCCAGGUUUGGCACACUGCGAGCUUUGAUUAGCGAUCGAGGGACGCAUUUUUGCAACAAAGUAAUUGAUAUGCUCUUGAAAAAACAUGGAGUGGUGCAACGAGUCGCUACAGCUUAUCACCCACAAUCGAACGGUCAGGCGGAAGUGUCGAAUCGAGAAAUCAAGUUGAUUUUGGAGAAGACCGUUAAGCCAAAUAGGAAAUACUGGAGUUUGUGACUUAAUGAUACAUUGUGAGCUUACCGAAUAGCUUAUAAAGGAUCUAUAGGUAUGUCUCCUUAUCGACUAAUUAUUGGUAAACCGUGUCAUCUUCCCGUUGAGUUGGAACAUCAGGCGUUUUGGGCGGUCAAACUAUGCAACAUGGAAUUGGAAGCUGCAGGUAAGUAUCGUAAAUUAAAUAUCCAGGAACUUGAGGAAAUUCGACGAGAAGCGUAUGAGAGUGCCCAAAUUUACAAGGAUAAGGUCAAAGCGUACCAUGACCAAAAGAUAAAUCGUAAACAAUUUAUGGUAGGCCAGAAAGUAUUACUUUAUGACCCUACAUUAAGAAUUUUCGCAGGUAAGCUUUGAACUAAGUGGUUGGGGCCUUUUAUUGUUACUCACGUAUUUCUACAUGGUGCAGUCGAGGUCAAAAGCGAAGAAUCUAAAAAAAUUUUCAAAGCCAACGAGCAGCGAUUAAAACCUUUUUACGAAAACUUCUAAGUCCACUUGGUUGAAGAAUUGGUUCUCGAGGAGCUGGCUGAAUAAAUUUACAGGUCAUCAAGCUAACGACGUUAAAAAAAAGCACUCUUUGGGAGGCAACCCAAAUUUAUUUUUAUUUAUUUAAUUUUUAGUUUAAGAAAAAUUUAGGGUGUAAAUAAAUAAACUCCUAUUUUACUCAGUCAAAUUGAUGUUUUCAGGAACAUUAUGGAGGCCGUGAAUUCUCAAGAAGACGAGCAUGAUGGUGGUGUGGGCAUGACUUGCUAAUUGAAAAAAAAAAACCAUCUCUGAAAUCGAUUUCUCGUCUUUGACAUGUACACGAACUGCUUGUGAGAAUAUGGUUUUUCGCCAACGCCCACAUUUUGCUACUCGAGAACAAGAGAAACAACCUCCGACUGUAGAGGCCCGUUUAAGCCGAAUUGAGGCUCGACUUGGAACAAUGGAAACCCAAGUCUCCACAAUCCUCGACAUCUUACAGAAUCGUUACUCCCAACACCAACUACGUCAUUAACAUAUAUGGGGAGUAUUCUUCACUUUUUCUUUUUAUUUUAGGCUGCUAACUUUUAUUUCAUAUAAUAUAUGCUUGAGGACAAGCAUAGUUUAAGUAGGGGGGAUGGAUGGAUGGUAAUGGAUGGUAAAUAUGCAUGCUUUUUGCUGCAUAUCUCUCUUUUGCAUGUGUUCAAUCUUACAUUAAGUUCAUUCGACAGUUUAUUUAACAUUGAGCCUUUAAUCCCAUACUUAGUUAAUUUGGAAAAUUGGGCAAAAUUUGAAUUAAAAUGUUCAAGUAUAUAGGUCAGUCAACAUUUGUGUCUUAAAAUUGAUAUAUGUAGCUUGAUUUUUUCCAUAUAAAUUGAUUGUUUGGAAAAUUAUAUUUGCUUGUGCAUUAAUAAAUAAGUGAAUAAAUAAAGGUUCAAGUUAUGAGUGAAUUUUCGAAAAUGUGACCGGAUUGAGUAACCGGGGUAAAGUUCUUGUGUUGUCAUCUUAUCUCGUGUAAAAAGGUUCGAGUGACAAGUCGAUAACUUAUAAACAUUCCGCUAACUGAGCUUUAUUUUAUAAAAUAUAUAUAAUAAAUAAAUAAAAUUUAAGACGGUUUAAACUGAGUAACCGGGAUAGGGUGCUUGGGUUGUCAUCCUAGUUCACCUUAAAAGGUUUGACCACGUGAAUAAUUUUUUCUAAUGCAUAGUUAAUUAAAUAAUGCCAUACAUUUUAUCGGAUUCAAACUCAAUUUAGUGAAAUUAUUUAGUCCACAUGUUUCAAUUUUAUGACAUUUGUUGAUCAAAUUUUAUAUCUUGAGCAUUUAUUUAUUUUUGCCCGUCGUUGUUUACAUUGAUUAUGUAGCAAAAAGAGGCUCGAUUUUUCAUAAAUUGUAGAACAAAUUUAAUGUUUGAAAGAACAAACAUGCUUGAGGGCAAGCAUGAGCUAAGUAGGGGGAGUUGAUAAACAUGUUAAUUUACAUGAUUCUUGUGUUUAAUUUGGCUUAUUUCUGAAUUAAUCCCUGCUUAAUUGGUGUUUUUAUGGAUUAAUCUUGUCAGGGAUGCAAUUGGUCAAAAACGAGCAAAAAGUGGUCAAAUUGAAAGACAAAUGUUGAGUUGGGGCCAAAUCAUAAAGAUGAGAAAGCCAAGGAUUUAACAUCAAUUUUGACUUUCUAAAAAGCUAAAAAUAGGAGAUUUUAUUUUAUUUUAUUAUUUAUUAUUUAUUAUUUAUUUUUAUUUUAUUAAUUUAGCUUUAGCAUAUUUUUAGUAAACCUUAUGUAUAUAAAUAUGGGCUUUUAGUUCUUAGAAAAUCAUCUCUUAUUUUUGUAUUCCUACUUCUAUUUGGAAUAGAAAUACUCUCUUUUUUCCCUUUUCAAAUUGGAGUUUAGCAUUCUGCCACUUUUUCACUUGGUUUUGUUUCUUUUCUAAAAUUGGGCUAAUUGCCUUUCAAUUGUUUUUCCUUUCCAAUUUCCAUCACCAUAAUCAUCAAUCUUUUUUUCCAAACUCACAAAGCAUGAACAGUUUCAUGCUUAACUAAAUUCCAUCUUAGCUUUAUGCCAGUGUUCUUUUCCGGUCAAGAAUCAUGAAAUUCAUACUCGCACCUAAAAUCUUUCCAAUCGGUAUUCACCUUUUUCCUAAGUAUCGGGAUUGACAACUCAUCCCUUAAGGAUAAUUCGAUUUCAAGUCAAAAAGAGCUCGUUGGGUUGGAGUCGUGUUUUUUGACAGUUGGAGAAAUGAAUCGACCGUGCUGUAUUUAGAUCUCCGAAAACAAAUAGAGGAAGAGGUGAUAGGGUUUAAACGACCCACACAGUUGAGGCCGUUAAUUUGAGUUGGGUUCUUCAGAACGCAAGGCUACCAGAAUCUUGAAUCAGGGACACGUGUAUCUCUGUUAGAUAAUCGGUAAGGGUUGGUUUGCAGGUCGUACCGGGACCAGCUACGAGAGGAAGAAUUGGUGGUUAGGACGUUCUUAACCAUUAUAACCAGCUUAUCGUUUGAAGGAGAAUAUCAAUUUUCGAGGAUCGAUUCUCAACACGGAAUUUACCGAGUCUAAGGCUAAGGCUCAUUACAUUUGAUUGCAAAUCCCAAUUUAAUUUCUGAUUUAUUUAAUUAUUUAUCUUAGCAGUUUUGAUUAUUUAAUUUCUAAUCAAUUUCAAAAUCCCCCGCUUUACUUAUUUAUUUGCUUAUUUUUCAGCUGGUACGUUUUGAGUCGUGGGCACGACUCUAGCCACGACCCUUGACACGACAUUCUGUUUAUAAGCCAAACUCGAAAGUUGAUUAGAGUACCAAUCCCUGUGGACUCGACCCUACUACUACCACUCUUACUACUAUCCAGAGUAUUUAGUAGGAAUUAUAUUUGGUGGAUUUGACGUCCAUCAUUUUCAUUUUCAAAAUAAUUAACAUCAUCAAGUUAAUACAACUUGUUGACUAGACAAGUAAGUUAAAUAAGCACAUAACUAAAUCAGAGGCGAAUAAGUGGCGGCUGGCAGGUCCUUGUCCCCCCUAAAAUGGAAAAUUUCUAUUUAGGCUAUUGAAAUUUUUUUAAAAUUUUAAAUUAAUAAAUGUAAAAUUGUACUUUGCCCCCCUAAAAUUAUAAAAAUUUAACUUAAUCCUUUAAAAAUUAUAAAGAUAUAGACUAUAAAAAAUUAAAAUUUUAUUCGGCCCCCUAAAAAUUUGUUCUAGCUUUACUCCUAAACUGAAUAAAUAAUUAGAAAAUAUCGAAACAAUCGACGAGAAAAUUGAUUAAUUAACUAGGAAAUAUAAUCCAUUAUUGUUUUAAGACAAUAAAAUCUAGUCGUGUUGAAUUGAGAAAAUCACACAAAAAGAAAUUUAAAACAAACUUGCAUAAAUACAAAGUAAUAAGAAAUAAUAUAGAGAGAAAAAUAGUUAUAGAAAAAUAUGACCCUCUUUCUCACGCUAUUACUAAUUAGUUAAGGUAAACAAUUACUUUAUCAUUAAAGAUUAUUGUAAACAAGUUUUGUACUUUCUGGGUGUUUUUAUGAUCCGGUUUUAAGAUUAUCAUCAAGAUCUUCUGAUGUUGGAAUCUUUUGCCUUGGAUUGAUUUGAUUUUAGAUGAUUCACUAGUGGUGUCAAUUGGUCAUAUCUAUUGCAUUUCGAUACUUCCCUUCAGUUUCCUAGCAUUGAUUAGUCACAGCGAAACACUGCAAAAACCAAUAUUCUAACCGUAAUGAAUGGUGGAUGAUUGUAUGUUGUUAUACAAAUCAGUAGCAAGCAUGCAUCCAUGCGGGGGUUGCCCAACGAAUCAGUGAUACCACCCCGCAGCACAUCAGAAGUGCUUAUAGUCAAUUAAGAUUUUUCACCAUAACCAAGUAUCUAAAGAAACUCUCGUAAUGGUUCAUUUGCAUGGAUGCAUUAUGUUACCCUUUUUCGGAGUGAUUCGUCUCAUCGAAAUUCUAUAAAAAGAUCCAUCAUCCUAAUCGGAAUGAAUGAUGAAUGAUUGCAUAUUGAUUUGUAAAUUCACUGGCAAGCUAGCAUCUUUUUUCCUAUGACAGCAAAGGUUGAGCUUGAUGCCCGUUUGAUGUUUUGCCCGCACAAAUUUUGGGGCUGAAACCUAUUGCCAAUUGCUGAAUAUUCUGUCAUUUUCUGCCUUUUUAAUGAAAAACCACGUUGGAACAAAGAAGGUUUUAGAUUUACAUUGGAGCUGCUAUGCUACCACGUAAACCAGAUAAACCCCGUGAACUUUUAGCCCUUUCAAUUUUGCCACCUCAGCUAUUAUCCUCUGCCAUUUCUGAACCACGGAUUCAGAUAGAUGAUGCAAAUAAGAGCUAUAUCAGCUCUCCCCAUCUAAGAAUUAAGACCCAUCAAAUCAUAUCAUUAAAUUUCAGCCCCAGAUAGGGACCCAAAAGGGCAAAAGUCCGCGACACGGAUGUUGAACAUGGGUGCAUUAGAAAAUCGAAGAGUUCGAACAAACAAUCAUAUAACCCAAUGAAGCACAUAAAGGACUGAGAAACAAAGUCAUUAUGAAUCCAAUACUCAAAUGCAGAAAGAAAUUUUAUUAUAUAAAGGCUAUGAAAGCCUAAGCAUAUCAACUUACAACAGCAAGCUAUUUUGGAUAGAGUGGAAACAUAAAAGCUUCCCCUUGGACAAAGAUCAUAGUGCACAAACUAAAUACGACAAAAUAAAUAAUCUUAAACUGAUAUUGGUUGAUACUUUUUGGAUUCAAUGCCAUUAGCAUAGCUAUAUCAUAAUAAAACUUGGUUCCAAAGCAAGUUUACUUCAUUCUUUGCCGUCAGCAGCACGAAGUGACCCGAGCUGGACCGGUGCUUGGGUUCCUACCACCUUAGAUGAUCCAUAAACAGAUAGAUCAAUGCCUUGAGCCUUCUCUUUCUCAAUCUGUUCCUUGAUCCAGAAAUAUGUAAUUCUCAGCCCAUCCUAUAAAAACAGUAAAACCAGAUGCGUCACAAGUGAAUCAGGAACUGAAUGAAACUAGGUAAUAACCGGCCAAAAGCAAUGACUUCAGACUUUUUUACUCUACAGGCAAUGGAGGAAAACCAUUUUCCAAAACCAGAGGUCAUAAAAAUCUUUUUAAACUGGGAAAAUCGUGUGGGGAUAAUAUAAUUCAGUUACCUUCAACCUCAUUGUAGGGGCCCAACCAAGUUUUUCUUUGAUCAAUGUAUUGUCUGAAUUACGACCACGGACACCCUCUGGACCAGGGAUAUGGUGGAUCGGAAGCUUUUUAUCUUCAAAGCUAAGCACAAUCUCCGCCAUCUCGUUCAUGCUAACCAUCUCAUCACUUCCGAUGUUCACAGGCUCACGGAAAUCGGACUUUGUCAAUCUGAAUGCAUAAUAUAGAGAAAGAUUGAUUAAUAUUAGCAAAUCUCAAACUGAAAUCAAGCGGCUAGUAAAUGCCAAAACAAGUGUCUAAAAGUUUUUCUUCUAAAGCAUAAAAUACAGUAUACAAUUUAAAUUCUAAUCACCAAAAUCAUAAUUUCCCAAAUUGCAUACUCAACUAGCAUAGCAAACUAUGAAACCAGGAAAUAUGCCCUAUUUGAUUCCUCAAUGUUUAUAUUAUAAGCCAAAUCCAUGCAGAUUUAACAUUUACUAAAAGCAAGCCCUUUAGUUUUUCUCUUCAAAUUUGUUGUGUAAAAUGAGUUUCAGCAGGAGGAGCUUUGAAAAUUGCCCAAAAACUUACCUAAGUACACCUUCAACACAUUCAUCAAUGAAAGUGAAAGAUCGAGUCUGAAGACCAUCUCCCCACAUCUCAAACUUGUCAAUGGAAGUAAUAGCCUUUCUGCAAAAGGCAGCUGGAGCCUUCUCCCUUCCACCUAUUAAGGUUGAUACAAGAAAAGAAAAAAAAUUAGUAAGUUCCAAAAUCGAAAAAAAUACAUAAGCACUCAUCAAAACUAAGGGUUUACCUUUCCAAGUUCCAAAAGGGCCGUAAAUGUUGUGGAACCUUCCAAUGCGACAUUCAAUUCCAAAGUCUUCGGUGUAAUGCUUGCACAACUCCUCUGUUGCAAGCUUCUCCAAGCCGUAAGCAUCUUGUGGCUAAAACCAAGGUUUAAAACACGACAAUCAGUAGUUAUAUUGGAUUAACUAAUAGAACAUAAGAUUACCGGAUAGUAUUUAAUGAAUUUGAGUCACAAACCUCAGCAGGCCAGGCAUCGGAUUCUUUCAAGCUCACAUUAGUUUCCAAUUGCUUAAAUUCAGGAUAGAUACAAGCACUGGAGGCGUAAAAAAACCUAAACAUACCAAGAUAUUGAGUUUAAACAAACUGUAAACUUAGUGGAAUUGCAAUGAAUGUAAGGCAAUCAUAUGAUACGAUGUACCAAUCCAAACAAACCUCUUAACUCCACUGAUUCGAGCAGCCUCGAGCAUGUUGAAACUGAUCAUUGUGUUGUUGUACAUAAUGACAGAGUGGUUGGACUGGAUGAAGCCCAUGCCACCCAUAUCAGCGGCAAGGUUGAAAACAUGAUCCACUCCAUUGGUAACCUUCAAGCAAUUUUCCAUCACUCGAAGAUCAACAAGAUGGAAUUCGUGACAGAACAUAUCUUCUGUCAUGUGCUCAUUCUUCUUCCAAUCAGAAGCAAUGAUGUAAUGUCCUUCACUCUUCAGACGUCGAGCGAUGUGCGAAGCGAUGAAGCCACCAGCACCGGUGAUGGAAAUUCGGAGUUUCUCGGAUGGCCAGUAAGGCUCCCUCUCCAGGGCAUCAUAGGUGUAAGCACCAUAGCUGGUCCCAUCAGUACUUCCCAUUCUGCAUAUGCUCAAUUGAAAAUUUACGCAACUUAUAUAGUACAAAAUAAAUAUAAAAAUUCAAGCUUUCAUGUAUCUAUCUAUCUAUCUAUAUAUAUAUACUACUUUAUCUAGUAAAUCCAAAUUAGCUGAAAAAAUUUACAUUAUCAUCCAUAUAAUUCACCAAAAAAUAUCCUAAUUCAGAACAAAAAUCAAAGAAACAGAUAACUUAAAUCCACCAAAUUUUAAAAAAGAAAAUCUUGCAAAGCAAAUCUUUAUGAACCCAAAAUUUUGUUCACUAAUAGCAGUAACUAAAGCACCAUAAAAACAAAAUCUUUAUGAAUCGACCGUGCUGUAUUUAGAUCUCCGAAAACAAAUAGAGGAAGAGGUGAUAGGGUUUAAACGACCCACACAGUUGAGGCCGUUAAUUUGAGUUGGGUUCUUCAGAACGCAAGGCUACCAGAAUCUUGAAUCAGGGACACGUGUAUCUCUGUUAGAUAAUCGGUAAGGGUUGGUUUGCAGGUCGUACCGGGACCAGCUACGAGAGGAAGAAUUGGUGGUUAGGACGUUCUUAACCACUAUAACCAGCUUAUCGUUUGAAGGAGAAUAUCAAUUUUCGAGGAUCGAUUCUCAACACGGAAUUUACCGAGUCUAAGGCUAAGGCUCAUUACAUUUGAUUGCAAAUCCCAAUUUAAUUUCUGAUUUAUUUAAUUAUUUAUCUUAGCAGUUUUGAUUAUUUAAUUUCUAGUCAAUUUCAAAAUCCCCCGCUUUACUUAUUUAUUUGCUUAUUUUUCAGCUGGUACGUUUUGAGUCGUGGGCACAACUCUAGCCACGACCCUUGACACGACAUUCUGUUUAUAAGCCAAACUCGAAAGUUGAUUAGAGUACCAAUCCCUGUGGACUCGACCCUACUACUACCACUCUUACUACUAUCCAGAGUAUUUAGUAUGAAUUAUAUUUGGUGGAUUUGACGUCCAUCAUUUUCAUUUUCAAAAUAAUUAACAUCAUCAAGUUAAUACAACUUGUUGACUAGACAAGUAAGUUAAAUAAGCACAUAACUAAAUCAGAGGCGAAUAAGUGGGGGCUGGCAGGUCCUUGUCCCCCCUAAAAUGGAAAAUUUCUAUUUAGGCUAUUGAAAUUUUUUUAAAAUUUUAAAUUAAUAAAUGUAAAAUUGUACUUUGCCCCCCUAAAAUUAUAAAAAUUUAACUUAAUCCUUUAAAAAUUAUAAAGAUAUAGACUAUAAAAAAUUAAAAUUUUAUUCGGCCCCCUAAAAAUUUGUUCUAGCUUUACUCCUAAACUGAAUAAAUAAUUAGAAAAUAUCGAAACAAUCGACGAGAAAAUUGAUUAAUUAACUAGGAAAUAUAAUCCAUUAUUGUUUUAAGACAAUAAAAUCUAGUUCGUGUUGAAUUGAGAAAAUCACACAAAAAGAAAUUUAAAACAAACUUGCAUAAAUACAAAGUAAUAAGAAAUAAUAUAGAGAGAAAAAUAGUUAUAGAAUUUAUGCCGAUUACUCCAAACCUCUUUUUCUUCUAUCUUUGCAAUCUUGAAGUUUUUUUUUGGUGUGAGAGAGUUGUUUCUUAGCCUCCAAGUGAUUUCUUUUUCUUUUCCUUCUUUUUUUUCCUUAAAUCUCAUCACAAUGGAUUGCUUGCUAUCAAAUUUCUAAAUUGAAGAGUAUGCAUGGUCCACUGCAUUGAAUUAAAUCCGGUGGAGCGGAAGGCUUCUCUUCACGACUUCUUACUCUAAACUCUAAGUUUUCCAUACUUCAUCCGAGGCCUACAAUAGAAAAAAGAAAAAUUACAAGUGAAUCUAAGUUAACUCUAAAAAUGAUAAAAACAAGCAAAAUUCAAAUAAAAUAUAAUUAAUUCGAAAAACUAUAAGAUAUAAUAAAAAGUAAUCUAAAUGCUAAAUUUACUUUUUACAAUAAAAUAUUAUGAUUGUUUUUGUUUUUCUUUGUUAUUUUUGGUAUAUUUCAUGUUUCUUCUUUUUACUUGAAUUUUGAGAUUUCUUUUAGGUUAUGUUAGAUUAUAUUUUAGAAUUCUUUGACCUAGAUCUUAAGAAUCAAAUAACAUAAUUUUUUUUAAAAAAAUCAGAUCUUAGGACUUAAAUAGGUUAAAGUUUUAUUUUUCUCAUUUAUAUUUUAGGAUUCAAAUAGGUUAAAUUUUACUUUUCUAAUUUAGAUCUUAAGGUUCAAAUAGGGUAGAAAUUUGUUUUUUCUAAUUUAAAUCUUAGGAUUAAAUUUUAUUUUUUCUAAUUCGGUAAACUAAAAAAUAGUCACUUUUGUUUGUCUCAGAUUACAUUUUAGUCACUUAUGUUUGAAAUAUACAUUUUAGUUACUUACAUUAUCGUUUUGUUACGAAGUGAUCACUCUACCGUUAAACUCUGUUACCUCACUAACGACAAUCCUACAUGGCAAUCCAAAUGGGUUUUAAAUGUCAACUUGGAUGUUUAGUUGUUGGGAUAAAAAUAGGUUUUUAAUUAAAUAAAUUUAAUUUAGACUGUGACUAAAACGUAACAUUUCAAACCUAAGUGACUAAAAUGUAAUGUGAAGCAAACAAAAGUAACUAUUUUUAUGGUUUACCCUUUCUAAUUUAAAUCUCAGGAUUUAAACAGGUUAGAAUUUCUUUUUCUUUUUUUUUUUUAAUUUAGAUGCUAGGUUGAUAUAGGUUAACUUUCUCUUUCCCUACUUAGAUCUUAGGCUAUAGAGGUUAGAAUUUUAAUUUUCUAUCAAUUAAAUCAUAGGUUCUUAUAGGUUAGAAUUUAAACUUCCAUUAUUAGGUUAGAAUUAAAAUUGAUUAGCUCUUAGGAUUCAAUGGGUAUUUUGAUUUUUUUUAAUAGUAUUGAAUUUUGAGCCUGUAAUGACAAUAUAUCGCAAAGAAAAGUGAAAGAAAAAUAAAGAAAAUAGAUUUUUACGUGGAAACUUUUCCGGGAAAAAAUUACGGGCAGAUAAAAUGAAAAUCCACUAUGUCGAAUUCAAAUAAUUACAAGAGGAGUAGACUAUGUCUAUUUAUAGGCUUGUAAAAUCAUAUUCUAAAAGGAGUGUAAUAAGUAAUCAAUAUCAAAUAGAUGGAGUUUAAUAAGAUUUAAAAAACCUUAUUCUAAAAUAAAAUAAAAGAAGUGUAGUUUUAUAUGUAGGGGCGUAGCCAGGGGGCUGGCAUGGGCCCCGGCCCCCCUAAAAUAGAAAAUUACAUUUUAGGCCCUUAAAAUUUUUAAAAAUUUUAAAUUAGUAAAGGUAAAAUUGCACUUUGGCCUCCCCUCUAAAAUUAUAAAAAUUCAAUUUAAUCCUUUACAAAUUAUAAAAAUAUAAACUAUAAAAAAUUAAAAUUUCAUCCGGCCCCCCUAAAAAAAUUUUCUGGCUUCGGCCCUGUUUAUAUGGAUUUUACUUUUAUUUUAUUUUACCACUAUAUUUUAUUUAAAUAAAAAUUCGAGUCACUCAAUUCUAACAGAGCUUUUAAAAGGUUAAAUUUCGAUUUAGGAUUAUUGGAGUCAAUUUUGAGAUUUUUGAAUUAGAAAUAUUAAACACCGAAUUUUGUAAGAUUAUCUUUAGACAGGCGUUGUAGGAAUGCUAUAAUCUUUUUUACAUUUAAUUGUACUCUCGAACUUCAAUUUUGAUACGAGCCCGAAUCUAGUUUUUUAAGAUUUUUCCUUAAGAAUAGUUCUAAAAUUGUAGGCAAUAGGCAACUACCUGACUUAGUUUAAGUUGGUUAGUGAUGAUUCUAUUUAUGUUUAGGUUUCAAAUUGUACAUUAAACUAAAAUUAAUGUAUAAUUUAUAAAUCUGAUAUUUAUUUUUAAAUUUUAUUUAAAAUAAUUUUUUAUUUGAUUUUAUAUUAUGUUGUGUAUUCAAAUUUUAAUGGAUUUACAUAUUCGACGAAUAAUAAUACUUAAUUCAAUAUAAGGUUAGUGAGAGUAUACCACAUGCGAGUCCUCAAACUACCCAAGAGGUGCUCAACUAUAGGUUAUAUAUGUGCAUUAUUUGGACAACUUUCCAUGAAUUCGUCAUUGUUCUCUUUUCGAAAUUUAGAGUUUAAACUUUCUAAUUGUUAUUACAUUGUGAUUUAAACUAAUUUUUUAUUAAAUUAAUCUUUAAACUAAUAAUUGCUCCUAUAUUUAAGUCUUAAUUUUUUUCUUUAAGUUAAUAUUUGAAAUUAAUUGUUUUUAAAUUGAGGUUUGAAUUUUCUUUAUUUAACUUUUUUUUUAAAACAAAUAUAAAGGACUAAUUUUGAUAGAAAAAUUUUAAGCUGUGAAAACAAUUUUUAAAUUCAGGGAUAAGAAAAGGUUACAAAACCAAAUUAAAUAUUAAUAAUUGAGCUUUGAAAGAAAUAAUCUCUUAAUAAAAUAGUUUUUAAUUGAUUGAGGAUAGAGUGAUGUAACUCAGUGGAAUCUUUUCGAAGUUAAAAUUGAAGUAAAUGAUUGAAUAGAAUUUAUAAAAGUAUUUUUUUGAAGUUCUUGAGAAAAGUUAAAUGAUAUUUUCAUUAAAAAUUAAGUAAUUACUUAAUUAAUGCAUGACAAUGACUAUAUUGGGCUAUAAGUAACUUGUUUUAGUAGUAUGUUAGUCAAUUCAAAUGAGAGAAAAGAAGAGAUCAAGAACUAUAUUAGAACAAUAAAAACAUACAUUGAUUAAACAAUAGCUACAACUCUAUUCGUCCAAGUAAACACGAUACAAAAUAUGACGCAACACCAUCAUCAACACUGAACCCUCCAUUAAUGACAAUCCAAAGCUUUAGUAUGUUUCUUGGGAAAUCCAUUCAUCCCAACACCCAUGAAACUUUGCUUCUAAACCUAGGCGCUCUUCUUUGGUGGUGUAUUGCCAUAUUUCCAAGUGAAUUGCUUUAAAUCAUCAGGAUAAGUACCCCCUGCAACCUCUUGGAUUGGGAUCGCAUCUGAAAUUUCUUUCAAAUCUUCUUUUGUCAGCUUUACUUUCACUGAUUCAAUGUUGCUGUCUAGAUUUUUAAUCUUGGUUGUUCCUGUAAGAAGUGAAAACAAUGUGUCAAAAGCUUUGGUUUUAAAUCUCAAUGCAAACUGGCCGUUGGUCCAGGAACUUGUAUCGGAGUGUCCAACACGGAUAUGUUCAUUUUCCUAAGGUUUUACAUAUAUCUGGAGGAAUAUGCUAGAAAAGUCUAUGCUAUUUCUGCAGGUUACUAACUUACUCUGACUGUUUUUUCUUCGAGUAUCCGUGUCUAAUACCCAACAUAUUUUGACAUGAGUAUUGAAACAAUCCUCCAAAUAUAUGAAAAACUUCAAAAAAUAUAAGAGUUCACUUAUAUUGUAUCACCUCGGAUUCCGAGUUGAAAGUGAUUGAAUGGGACUUACCGGGAAUAGGAGAAACAUCAUCCCCUUGGUGAAGAACCCAGGCAAGUGCAAGUUGUGCCGGUGUACAUCCAUGCUUUUCAGCCAACUUCUCUACUUUCGAAUAUAGGAUCCUAUUUUGCUCCAAGUUUUCUCCUUGAAACCUUGGGUACACUUCCUUAAAAAAUAAAUGUUUGUAAUGAGUCAACGUUUGUAAUGAGUCAACCGAUCUGUUUUUUACAACUUAGAAGCAUGUUACUAUGUUAUCCGAACUCUUCAUUUUCUUUAAUUACUCAUAUCCAACAUGUCUCUGACACAUAAUUGGAUAUAAGUAUGAGAGUAACAUCCUUCAAAUAAAUGAAAAUGAAACUUAAAAAAAAACUGAAUAUAUUCAUGCCGGACACAUAUCUGUAUCCAACACUUACUCCUGAACCCAUAUAACAUAGAUUAAGUAUAGGUUAAAGCCAUAUAAAGUGAGUUUCCAUACCAGAGAACUAUUCGAGGUAUCCUCCUUUGCUUUACCGGCAAAGAAACCAUGACCAAGGGGACUAUAUGCAACAAUCCCAAUUCCGAGUUCCCUGUAUUGUUGAACACAUUUAGGCAGGCAUAACCUCACAGCAGUUGAAGGAGUUAAAACAGUUGAUAACUUGAGAAAAGACAAUCAAUAAGUGAAUUUCAAUAUAUUUGAGCAAAAGGGUAUAUUUAUAUCCCUCCAAAUAUAUAAAAAUUUGAAUAUAUCUAUAUUCGAAUAAAAAAAAAAGUUAACGAUGAUUGAAGAUAGAAGAACAAACCUGCAAAG